This 1193-nucleotide long non-coding RNA is filed under the name Bos grunniens (domestic yak). Its description in RNAcentral is "lncRNA (ENSBGRG00000006536.1)". Lineage: Eukaryota; Metazoa; Chordata; Mammalia; Artiodactyla; Bovidae. The record is from RNAcentral.
GUCUCAAAUAGCAUUUGAAGGGUUGUAAUAAACUGUUAUAGAUUGUCCUAUGGACUGCCCCCCCCCACCCACCCCGCCGCCACCAACACACACAACCCCACCCCGGAGUCAGCUAAGUGUCUUUCCUAAGAAACAUUCCUGAGCUCUUGGAAAGACCGCCUCAUCUCUGUGCCCAUCUUGGACUCAAGCUCCCUCCAGCACUGGCAUCCUCGAACUGUCAUGUCGUAUACUCUUGACGCAUCAAUCUCCUCUCCAGAACUAAGCCCCUGGGAAGACAUCUUCCCAUCUCAGCGUUUGGGGCCCUAACACGAUGCUCGGCUCCAAGAGGCGCUGUAGAAGGGCGAUGCGGAGCCUCUUCUGGGGAUAGAGCAUGGGACGGACAAGCAGCUCUGAAGUGAGGCAAGGGGGACACCUUGGCUCUGCGGGUGUGUCCCAGACUGUGACCGAGGGUGGAGGGAUCAGUCGCAAGAAAGAUCAGUUAUCAGCCUCUAACCCUGCGAUUCGUAAUUAACGAAGUGUUCGCGGAAUGAUACUGCGGUUUUGAAGAAGUCAAGCUUGAGGGAGGAGAAAGAGCCAGGGAGAGGGGAGAGGAGCCCCGGAAAAGCAGCAGAAGUGGAGAAGCCGAUAGGCGCGCCCAGGUUCCGCGUGGUCUUUCUCUCCUCGGAGCCGCGUGGGGCUCCGACUCCCGCGCCCCAGCGCUCGGUGCGCUGUUGCCGCGUGGAGCGCCCGCGGCGGGGACCUCUCCUUGCACUGCCAUCUUCAGGUGUGGCAACUCCAGGUCUGCCUAACCUUGCCAGGCGGGAGGCCGUCCAGUCCUUCAGGAAGAGUCGCUGGCCCCGGGUUUAGGAGCCUUCACACUCCUUUUAUCGUGACUAUCUGGCAGUUCCAAUAGAAGUAUUUUUCAAACCAGCGGUAUUUACAGGGGCAAGACUGGGCUGCUCCGUGGAGCCUGGGACCGUAUCAGCCUAUGAGAGCAGUGGAGUCACUCGCCUUGCGGAGCAAGCUGCCGUCAGAAAAGAUUCUUUUCGAGCAUUUAAUCAAGUUCAAGCGCUCGGCCCUUGAACGUUGCAGGAGCAGCUUCACGUUUCGGCCUUUGAAAAGGUAUCGUAAUGUUAUUGCUUGUUUUGCUUCUAGAAGCGGCGGGUUUAGGAAAUGACUUGGGCGGGUUCAUCUGUGAGGCCGAAGACACUGAC